Molecule: non-coding RNA, 1126 nt
Organism: Pogona vitticeps (central bearded dragon)
Lineage: Eukaryota; Metazoa; Chordata; Lepidosauria; Squamata; Agamidae
Source: RefSeq, a predicted model, not a curated record
AAUGUAGAUAUUCUUAGAACAAUGUAACACAACUCCUUUGGGUGGUUUUCAUCUCCGUGGCCACGUUCCCUCUCUCGGGGACCACAUGUUAGUGGUGAAAGAAAAGGGCGCUGAGCCCGAGGUGCUGCCAGCAAUUCAGGUCUUGAUAGGUUGAUGGGAACAGAAAGGAGAGAAGAAGAAAAAAAGUCAAAGCUAGCAAUUAAUGGAGAAGAGAAUGCUUUAAGGUGACAGGCGUGUGUGUGUGUUUUCUGGGCUGCCUUCUUUCCGCUACUAGCCUUCACCAAUCAGGGGCCUUCCAGAUGGAGAAUUUAGCUCCCAUUCUCCUCAGUUAGCAAAGGCCAUCAGGGGAUGUUGGGAGCUGCAAUCCAACACAAACCGGAAGGCAUCCAUUUUGAAAGGGAGGUGGAAGUGACUUUUUACAGAUCUGAGGCCAACAAUGUUGACUCACAGCUAACGGUGCAAUCCUGCGCGUGCCUGCUCCAGACUAAGCCCCAUUCAGCUCACUGAGGCUGACUGCCACGUAACUGUGCAGAAGAUCGGAGAGCAGCUAAAUUGAAAAGGUGUCUUAAGAGUAAAUGCACAGCAGAAUGCGCCUUUGGCUUGGCCUCUGCUUACAUUUCACAUCAAGCGAGAGGCAGGCCCUAUGAUCCAGUGGCUGCUUCCAGCUGCAAAAGCUUUCAUAGCGACAAGGAUGCUCUGUGUACCUCCUUCCACCUCCCUGCUCUGAAUGUACGUGUGUGAGCGAGUAAGAAUACCCCAGAAUAUAUGGCUCCAGGGAUGCCUCUGCUCCACUUCUGAAGUAUUGAUGUGCCAGUUUUCAGCAGAAUAACUCUGUUGCUAUUAACGACCUGAAUUCAAUUGCUAGUGCCAAUGAGUCAACCGGCUGCUGUGCUAACUCCGUCGACACAACUGCAUCCUGUUGAUUCCAUGACUGGAACUUGCUGGGUUUACACCUAAGCAAACAUCUGGCCAUUCGGGACACUGCUGAAAAAGACACUGAAAAACUUUGAUUCUAGUGUGAUGUUGAUGUUGAUGAUGAUAAUAAUAGUAAUAGUAAUAAGGGUAAGGUGACUGGAGAGGUCAUACUCUUGGAUAUUCCAGAGGUUGGAAAUAAAUUCUUGAAAAU